GCCCGCACCCUCUCUGUCUUUUCCAGAGUUCUCCCUUGUGCUUAAAGGCCUGACCUGGGCCACUAACCUUACCUAGUGACAAUGGAAACUGCAGGCCCCAUUCUUGCAAAUCAGAUCCAAGACUCCCGGUGCAGCGGGAACAUAGUGACCUCUGUCUAGGUUACUCUGGGACAGUCAGUCUGGGUCAGCGGACUGGAUGGCUUCAGAGAGCAUCAGAGCAAGACACUGCCACAAAGGGGUCCCGUGUCACACAGCCCUGCCCACACUGCAGCAGCGCACUGGAGCAGGGGCUCCGAGUCCAGCGGGCUCAUUAUCCACCCAGCGGCCUCGAACCCUCCGCUACCCUUCUUAGGCCUCAGUUUCCUCAUCUGUGAAGUGGGGGAUCCUCUAUCUGUCAUCCCUCUUCCAGGGAGUCGAGAGGAUGGAGUGGGGCCCGUAGUCGUUCUCUUCGUCUUUUACAUUGUGUUCAGGGCGGAGCGUGGACGUGGGGAAAAUUCAAGUCCUUGCACCCGUGGGCCGCGAUGGGAUGCCUCCCUCGAAGACGUAGCGGUUUGUUAGAGUUCUUCCGCGGUCGAACAAGGGGUUUCCAGGCUCCCAGGCCCGCGCCGUGCGGCUUCUUUUGCUCCUUUUGCUCUUUAGCGCGGCACGGGGACCCCCGGAGCUCGGUCGGGGCAACGUGGCUUCGAGGGCUUUCUUGCCAUGGGUUCACUUAAACGCCCUGAACGGAGCGUGACCAUCAUCCCGCGGACCGGACGGAGAAACCGGGGCCGAGAGGGACGCCUUCGGCCUCCCGCCACCCCACCGCUAGCCUCUUGGCUCACCUCGAGGAAGAAGCGUUUCCCUGUCGCGUUUUCCCCUGUCCCAGUCCCAACCCUCCCGCGAGUCCCCGCGGCGGGGAGCUCGGGAGCCGGCGGGGACAUCCAGGAGCUCCGCGGCGGCGGCGGCGGCGGCGAAAGGGGAGCAGCUCGGAGCCGGGACCGAGCCUCAGCCAGGGCCUCGGCCUGGCCCCCAGCCCCAGGCUAGCGCACCCACGCUUUCUCGGGAGCUCAGCGAGCGUGCGAGCCCAGGACCGGGAGCCCGAGGCGUGAUCCUCGUUUCCUGAGACGGAGGCGGGCCGGGCGGCGGGAGCCGGCUGGACUCUCGGGGGAAGCCGCGGCCGGGGGAGGCGGGCGAGCAGGCGCAGUCGGUUAGGCUCGGGCGUGGGCGCAGCAGCAGCCCUCUGGGAUCGUGGGCGUCCGGGUUUUCCGGGCUGGGUCCGAGCUCUGCGCAUGGCUCUGGGACUGCGAGAAGCCGGGAUGUGCACGGAAGCUUGUGGAUGUUCAUUUCGGGUCAUAGAGUUCGUGGUUUGCACGCCCAUCUCAACAGGGCCGAGGAUUACGCCCCUUUCCCCCUCAGAGGGGAAACGCACGAGACUGGAUUCUAGUUCAGCCACCUGAGGCACAGGAAGAGACCCUGACUUGUCCCCCUCCCCAGGCCAGCCUCGCUCGGAGCCCAGGCCUCUGAUUCCGAUCCCUGACGCCUCCUCGCCCCGCAGCUCCGUCCCGGCGCCCCCGGCAGGGGCGCAGGGUGGUGAUGGGGGAAUGGCUAGAGCUUGGCACGGUGCCUCAGCCGGUCCCCUGACGACGACCCUAGCCCAGCUGGCUGGUUGCUCAGCGCCCGAUGCCGAGGCCGGUGAUGGCGCUGGGAGCUGGAAGACACUUCUCGCCGCCGUCCCCGCCCCGCCGCAGGCGCAGGCGGCCCAGCUCUCCUCUGGCCUUUUUCCUUCGGGCUUUUCUGGGUCUCUUUCUCUGUCUUGGGUCCUAAGAGUGUCUCUCUUGGUCUCACUGACCGUCUUUUGGCCUCUGUGUACCGAUAGGACUGCACGUGUCCUCCCUCCCUCUCUGGGACGAUCUCCCCAGAGUCCCUCCUGACGAUAGCCCGCCGUGGGAUGUGAGGGAACGGCACCCUCCAGCUAGGGCCUGGCUGCCCUACCAGCCUAUUUCCUCCUGGAGGAUGGAGUGGACAGUGGUAAGGCCAGGACAGACAGACCUCGGCACAGGAGGAUGCUGGAGCAGGUGGGAGUCGUGAUCCUCCGCCUUUCUGCGCAAGCGCCUCUCAGGGCCCUCCGCUCCCUCUGCUCUGCGGAGCCUGGCCCUGGGAGGGGACGCAGGUUCCAGCUGUGCCGGCCUUCGGGACACGUUGAAGGCUCCAAACAGUCCUUGCCAGCAGGGUUUUCCUGCUGUCUGUCUCCGUACAAACGGGGCCACUUUGCUGAUCAGACGGCCGCAUGGCUCCCCGUCACGCACCGGCGAGGUGGGGCGCACUUUCCCUGGGCGGCAGUUCAGGGCCCUCCCUGCACAGUGCAGACGCCCCCACCCCUCCCUACUGCCCUGGUCUUCCCUGCGCCCGGCUCCGGAGGACUCCCCGCCAAGCCAUCUGUUCCAGCACCACCGACUAUUGCCUGUAUCUGGUUCGUGGAACUGCCUCUGAUUUUGGGGGCAUUUGCUGGCCAGAGAUGAUUGACAUCGGCUUUACCUGAUGAAUGACUAAGACCAAGCUCAGGGAAAGAUUUGCCUUGAGCUAACAUCUAUUGCCAAUCUUCCUGGGGUUUUUGGUUUGUUUUUCUUUUCCUCCCCAAAGCCCCAGUGAAUGGUUAUAUAUCCUAGUUGUACACACCUAAGAGAGGACUGUCUGGGUCAGAUGUCUCUAAGCGUCAGGAAUCCGAGUGGAGCUUAGCUGGUGUGGCUGGCAGCAUUGGCCCAUCCGAGCUUGAGGCCGCUUUGGAGUAGUGCCGGAUACGGGAAAACUGGAGAGAAGAAGGAAUAAGAGAGCAGAGGGCUGGAAAAGGGGACAGAAGGAAAGACGAGUUAAGGGACUGGAAAGAAUCAGUGUUUGGAAGAAGGCGGUUGUUGCUAAACCACUUUUCAGGCUGUACUUCUGCUGGAUGGAGGAGCUUCAAUCGUCUUGAUCAAUGAGCCUGUAUCAGGCUUUGAACAGGAGCUAUAGAUAUGUUAGUUCAUUUACUCAAUCCUGCAACAGUCCCACCUCCCAGAUUUAGAAACUGAGAUCUGAAAAGUUAAGUAAGACUUGGCCAAGACCAUAUACCUGAGAUGGCUUUCCUCCCCCAGAGCCUGUGACCUUUCACGAUGGUACCCGAGUAUAUUCCUGUGUUACUCUGCUUCCGACUCUGCCUCACAGCAUCCUUUGCCUCCUGGGUCCGUGAGACGUCUUCUAGGAAGUUCUAGUGGACAGUAAGAAAGACAAAUCCUCUGGUCUCCCUGGUCUCCCUGGUCUCUAGUUAUGGCAGCCUGCGUUCUCUUUGAAGACUGAGCUGUGUUACGGAACUCCCUCCUCCCCCGACUCUAACAGGCUUAGUGGCCUCUGUGAGGUCUGCCUCAAUCAGUGAAAGGACAGUAGGUCUCUGCUUCUGGCUGCCUCCGUGAAUGAUUUCUGCCCCGUAGUGGAAGAGUCACUGGUGGCUCGGCCUGAGAUGUCCUCUACCUGGUCAGCAUCCUCUGAUGUAACACCCCUAGACACAGUGAAUCUUGGAUAUGAAGCUGCUUCGAGUUUGAGCUUCACGUAGUGAGUGGUUUGGGCAGGUCCACUGUCCCUCCAGCCUCAGUUCCUUCAGCUGUUGAACUGAGGAGGAAGAGGUGGCUGAAUUAGUGGUUCUUUCUCCAUGGAAGUGAAGACUGACAAGUAUGCUCCAGUCCGUAGGAGCUCUAGGCAUUGUCUAUGGAUUAAAUAGUUUGUCCGUCUUGCGUAUAUACACAUGACUACAUUUCAAAUGUGUGUAAAGCUGUGUGAGAAAUAAAAUGCAAAUUCAUUUAAAGAU
Long non-coding RNA from Equus asinus (donkey), 3814 nucleotides. The record is from Ensembl. Lineage: Eukaryota; Metazoa; Chordata; Mammalia; Perissodactyla; Equidae.